This 1182-nucleotide ribosomal RNA is filed under the name Triticum aestivum (bread wheat). Its description in RNAcentral is "partial small subunit ribosomal RNA". The record is from RNAcentral. Lineage: Eukaryota; Viridiplantae; Streptophyta; Magnoliopsida; Poales; Poaceae.
AUGGAUGCAACCGUGCGCGCGCAGGAAGAAGGCGACACAAGUCGAAGUCUAUAUAAGCAUAUGCUUCCAUUCAUCUUCUCCACACUCUCUUCUUGCUUGCUUCUGCUGCGCUGUGCACCGAUCGCUCUCAACACCAGCCAACCUAUAGGCAUGGCGUCCUACGGGAGCGCUUCUUGGGUUACGCUUGCGCUGCUCCUCUUCAUCACUCUGGCUGCCACCGCCAAUGGCGACGAGCUCUCCGCGAGUUACUAUGAGAAGACGUGCCCCAACGUGCAGCACGUCGUGCGGUCAGUGAUGGCGAGCAGCGUCGCCGCCCAGCCAAGGAUGGCGCCCGCCGUCCUCCGCCUCUUCUUCCACGACUGCUUCAUCAACGGAUGUGAUGCUUCUGUUCUCCUGGACGCAACUCCCUUCUCCCCCAGCGAGAAGGAUGUGAAGCCGAACGCCUCCCUCACCGGCUAUACCGUCAUCGACGACAUCAAGUCCGCGCUCGAGCACGACUGCCCGGCAACCGUCUCCUGCGCUGAUGUUAUCGCCCUGGCGUCCCGCGACGCCGUCGCCCUGCUCGGAGGUCCCACCUGGAGUGUGCCCCUCAGCCGCAAAGACUCACGCUUCGCCGCCAACCCGGAGUCCACCAAGAAGGGCCUCCCGAGCCCGCACGACAACCUCGGCGAGCUCGUCGCCAUGUUUUCAAGGCUCAACCUCGACGCGCGUGACAUGACCGCGCUCUCCGGUGCCGACACCGUCGGGAUGGCCGACUGCAUGCACUACAGCGACCGCGUCUACGGCGCCGACCGCGAUGAGGAGAUCGACCCAUACUUUGCACAGACCAUGAAGCAGUCGUGCCAGGGUCCUUCUGAGGCUGAGAAUAUGUGCUACACACUACGCACUUUUGAGCCAAGUUUUACUACAGGACAUGGGGCCCAGCUUAGAGGCAAGCCAGCCUCUAAGCACUGUGGAUGCCCUUACUACCGCAACCUUAUCGCGCGGCGCGGUCUCCUCACCUCCUACCAGACUCUCUACGGUGGUGGAGGUCCGCAGGACAAUCUCGUGGAGAUGUACAGCGCCGACGGUGAGGCGUUCGCGAGGGACUUUGCCAAGACCAUGGUGAAGAUGGGAAACGUGCCUCCGCCCAUGGGAAUGCCCGUGGAGGUGAGGCUCAAGUGCUCCACGGCCAACUAUUGA